Molecule: long non-coding RNA, 1503 nt
Organism: Apodemus sylvaticus (European woodmouse)
Lineage: Eukaryota; Metazoa; Chordata; Mammalia; Rodentia; Muridae
Exons: 8
Source: RefSeq, a predicted model, not a curated record
UGUUUCCAGAGGGGCCUUGCCAGAGCGUUACAAAUACAGAGGCAGAAACUAGCAACCAACAAUUGGUCUGGGCUUGGGGUCCUCAAUGGAGGCUCUGGAGUGUGGUCCGGAGGAGCUGAAGGGGUUUAUAGCCCCAUGGGAAGAACAAUGACUUCAGACACCCAGACACCCCAAGACUCCUAGGGACUGAACCAUCAACCGAGGGGUACACAUGGUUCCAGCCAAAAAUGUGGCAGAGGAAUGCCUUGUUGGACAUCAGUGGAAGGAGUGGUCUUUGGUCAGGAUCGUUCUCAGUUAGACUUAGCGAUGAAUUCUCAGUGAUGACUCAGUUCUAGAGACCAGAGCUCAAGCUGUGUGAACAUCGGAAUAUUCCAGGCUGCUGUAUUUCACCGUGGUCAGAGUGCUACGUUUCCUUCUGACAGGAAUUGAAUGAGAAUAGGCCCAUCCAUCUUGGACAUGCCAGAAACUUCGGAUGGAAUAAGCCAGCUCUGCAAUCUUGCACAGGAUAGCCAGCUACCCGGCGAUGCAGAGGAGAAUAGUAGCUGAAAACCAAUAUUGCAUCAAAUAGAAGCUUCCAGGGAGAGUACGUUGAGGAGGCCAGGAAGAAGAAUGAUAUGGAAAAGUCGAGGCGUAUUGUAAUAAAGUUCUGAGGCACCCUGCCCCAAUCAUUUUGAAGAUCUAAUGGAUGUGUUCCAGCAUUGUGAAAGUGUUAACACCCAAACAGAUGUAAAAAUGCCUCUCCACCUUGAGUUGUGAAUCCUUCCUAAGGAGGCUGAAGAAGGGAGGUGGCAGCCAGAGUGAUUGGCGAGACAUGCUGAUGCUGGGACAAGGGAUGAUGCUGACCAUGAUCUUGCCCUGACACUGGUGACAAGGAAGCUGUAUUGGACACAUGUUCCUGACCCACCUUUGCUACAUCCUUCUGUAAUGGCAAGAAUAUCAGCAGUCAUACUGGAAUUUCACAUGGAAAAGUGAAAUAUUAUCAACCCACUGUUGAUCAGAAAGUGUGACCAUGGCCCAUCAAGCUGGCCAAACAAGAUGUCAGAAGUCUACAACUGUGAGGAGCUGCAUCCCACCGACAGCCUGGGGAUGGUUGGAAGUGCUUGUUCCCCAAUGGAGCAUCCAAAUGAUGUCCCACAUUGUCACAAGGACCCUGCUGUCUACCAGAGACUUCCAGCACACCAUGAAAUAACACGUCGCACCGGGGAUGGCUGAGUGGCUUGCUCAGAGGUGGGAGUUGUGGUACAGCCGUGAUGGAUGUCAAGGGAGGAGCCCAGUGGGAACAUUAGCAGAAGCAGGCACUGGGUCUCUGGCACUGUAGCAGGCAGCCUGACGCUGCCCCUGUAACCACUCCUGUAGCCACUCUGGUGAUCAGCGACACAGGGGGCUGGCUUGUUUGCUUUUCUUUUAGAUGGAAAAUAUAGGACCUUAAAUAAGAAAAGGUGAGCAAAUACCCUUUGCUCCUACGUGACCGUUUCAUAUGCUCUGGAUAAUAGUUUCAGCAUC